RNAcentral lists this ribosomal RNA (242 nucleotides) under uncultured fungus. Its description in RNAcentral is "partial 18S ribosomal RNA". The stretch from base 77 to 242 matches the Rfam family "Eukaryotic small subunit ribosomal RNA", at positions 738 to 905 of the family's 1831-position model. Lineage: Eukaryota; Fungi. The record is from RNAcentral.
GUCCGCCUCACCGCGUGCACUGGUCCGGCCGGGCCUUUCCUUCUGGGGAGCCGCAUGCCCUUCACUGGGUGUGUCGGGGAACCAGGACCUUUACUUUGAAAAAAUUAGAGUGUUCAAAGCAGGCCUAUGCUCGAAUACAUUAGCAUGGAAUAAUAGAAUAGGACGUGUGGUUCUAUUUUGUUGGUUUCUAGGACCGCCGUAAUGAUUAAUAGGGAUAGUCGGGGGCAUCAGUAUUCAAUUGU